AAGUCGUAACAAGGUUUCCGUAGGUGAACCUGCGGAAGGAUCAUUAUAGUAUAUCUAUAUCUAGGAUGGGGGUGCUCUCGGGGCCCCCCACCCGCAACCGUCGAAUAAUCCUUAAGUCAAUUACUUAAACGUUUAAUCCAGUUUAGGCCUUUGGAUGGCAUUGGAACCUUUAACUGGCCCCUUGGUGGGAUAAAAACUAAAUUCUUUAAUAAACUGCCUGAAUUUAAUGUAAAUGUCUGAAUUAAUAUUAAAUAUUAAAA
This 260-nucleotide unclassified non-coding RNA is filed under the name plant metagenome. RNAcentral describes it as "partial contains small subunit ribosomal RNA and internal transcribed spacer 1". The stretch from base 1 to 46 matches the Rfam family "Eukaryotic small subunit ribosomal RNA", at positions 1786 to 1831 of the family's 1831-position model. The record is from RNAcentral.